This 648-nucleotide ribosomal RNA is filed under the name uncultured Lachnospiraceae bacterium. Its description in RNAcentral is "bacterial SSU rRNA". It matches the Rfam family "Bacterial small subunit ribosomal RNA", at positions 63 to 712 of the family's 1533-position model. Lineage: Bacteria; Bacillati; Bacillota; Clostridia; Lachnospirales; Lachnospiraceae. The record is from RNAcentral.
CGAACGGGAAAUAUUUCAUUGAGACUUCGGUGGAUUUGAUCUAUUUCUAGUGGCGGACGGGUGAGUAACGCGUGGGUAACCUGCCUUAUACAGGGGGAUAACAGUCAGAAAUGGCUGCUAAUACCGCAUAAGCGCACAGAGCUGCAUGGCUCAGUGUGAAAAACUCCGGUGGUAUAAGAUGGACCCGCGUUGGAUUAGCUGGUUGGUGGGGUAACGGCCCACCAAGGCGACGAUCCAUAGCCGGCCUGAGAGGGUGAACGGCCACAUUGGGACUGAGACACGGCCCAGACUCCUACGGGAGGCAGCAGUGGGGAAUAUUGCACAAUGGGGGAAACCCUGAUGCAGCGACGCCGCGUGAAGGAAGAAGUAUCUCGGUAUGUAAACUUCUAUCAGCAGGGAAGAUAGUGACGGUACCUGACUAAGAAGCCCCGGCUAACUACGUGCCAGCAGCCGCGGUAAUACGUAGGGGGCAAGCGUUAUCCGGAUUUACUGGGUGUAAAGGGAGCGUAGACGGUGUGGCAAGUCUGAUGUGAAAGGCAUGGGCUCAACCUGUGGACUGCAUUGGAAACUGUCAUACUUGAGUGCCGGAGGGGUAAGCGGAAUUCCUAGUGUAGCGGUGAAAUGCGUAGAUAUUAGGAGGAACACCAG